GAGUUUGAUUCUGGCUCAGGAUGAACGCUGGCGGCGUGCCUAAUACAUGCAAGUCGAGCGAGAACUCGUGGAAUGGAGACUUCGGUCAAAGUGAAAUGAGGGAAAGCGGCGGACGGGUGAGUAAUGCGUGGGAAACCUGCCCUUUAGAGGGGGAUAGCAGUUGGAAACGACUAUUAAUACCCCAUACUCUUGAGUUUUCGCAUGAAAAUUCAAGGAAAGAUUUUAUCGCUAAAGGAUGGUCCCACGUCUGAUUAGCUAGUUGGUGAGGUAACGGCUCACCAAGGCGACGAUCAGUAGCCGACCUGAGAGGGUGAUCGGCCACACUGGAACUGAGACACGGUCCAGACUCCUACGGGAGGCAGCAGUAGGGAAUAUUGGGCAAUGGGGGCAACCCUGACCCAGCAACGCCGCGUGAAUGAUGAAGGUCUUCGGAUCGUAAAAUUCUUUUCUUGGGGAAGAACAAGGUGACG
RNAcentral lists this ribosomal RNA (470 nucleotides) under Peptostreptococcaceae bacterium canine oral taxon 019. RNAcentral's name for it is "bacterial SSU rRNA". It matches the Rfam family "Bacterial small subunit ribosomal RNA", at positions 9 to 459 of the family's 1533-position model. The record is from RNAcentral. Lineage: Bacteria; Bacillati; Bacillota; Clostridia; Peptostreptococcales; Peptostreptococcaceae.